This 472-nucleotide ribosomal RNA is filed under the name uncultured bacterium. RNAcentral's name for it is "bacterial SSU rRNA". It matches the Rfam family "Bacterial small subunit ribosomal RNA", at positions 968 to 1441 of the family's 1533-position model. The record is from RNAcentral.
ACCUUACCAGCUCUUGACAUCUUCUGACAACUCUAGAGAUAGAGCGUUCCCUUCGGGGACAGAAUGACAGGUGGUGCAUGGUUGUCGUCAGCUCGUGUCGUGAGAUGUUGGGUUAAGUCCCGUAACGAGCGCAACCCUUGUUGUUAGUUGCCAGCAUUAAGUUGGGCACUUUAACGAGACUGCCGGUGAUAAACCGGAGGAAGGCGGGGAUGACGUCAAAUCAUCAUGCCCCUUAUGAGCUGGGCUACACACGUGCUACAAUGGAUGGUACAACGAGCAGCGAUCCCGCGAGGGCUAGCUAAUCUUUCAAAGCCAUUCUCAGUUCGGAUUGCACUCUGCAACUCGAGUGCAUGAAGUCGGAAUCGCUAGUAAUCGCGAAUCAGAAUGUCGCGGUGAAUCCGUUCCCGGGUCUUGUACACACCGCCCGUCACACCACGAGAGUUUGAAACACCCGAAGUCGGCCGGCCAACCC